Molecule: long non-coding RNA, 100 nt
Organism: Strigops habroptila (Kakapo)
Lineage: Eukaryota; Metazoa; Chordata; Aves; Psittaciformes; Psittacidae
Exons: 3
Source: RefSeq, a predicted model, not a curated record
AUUUUUAUUCACUCUUCAGUCUAUGAUGUUUUUCACCUUUGUUGCUGUUUGGGUGAGCAGGUUCCUGUCUUCCAUCCAAACACCCUUGUGGUGAAAUAUU